Motacilla alba alba is the source of this 6130-nucleotide long non-coding RNA. RefSeq lists it as uncharacterized. The transcript is spliced from 5 exons. NCBI's taxonomy places the organism in Eukaryota, Metazoa, Chordata, Aves, Passeriformes, Motacillidae. The record is from RefSeq and is a predicted model, not a curated record.
UGGAGAACGUGAAAAAGUUCUCACCACUUGUAUUUGUAAUAAUGUGGGGGGUUUUAUGCCUGUUUGCACUGACACACGUUCCUGUAAGCAGUAUUAACUACCAGAAGUACACAAAAGUUCUUUACAAAGUUCUGCUGCAGGGUGGCAGAUGCGCAACAGAGUAGGAGAAAAGGAGCAGCGGUAGGAAGUUCUGGGUGGUAUGAGUGGAAUCAUUCCAAUGUGCAGGUGAGAAACGUCUUCAUCGCCUCUAUUAAUUUGACUGGAGGCUGUUAGUUGCUUUUGUUGGUUGUACAUUUAAUGAGCGUUUCAGGAGGGAAAUUGAGAGGAACGCAGCUGUGAAAGUUCUUUUGUUUUUUAAUAUGAAACUAACCUAAGCUGUAGUCUGGGCUAGUCUGCCACCACCAUCAAAAAUUGUCAUUUUUCUUAUGAGUCAAGAAAAUCCCCAGUAGGGCUGUGUUCCACAGGAGAGGUCUCAGCCAGUGCAAAAAGCUUUAGAAAGUGUCUCCACGUUUUGCUUCCACACGAGGUAACUCGAACAUGCAGGACUGGGAGCAGACCUCAGCCCAGAUCCUGGAAUGCACGAAGCAGCUGUUUUGCCUAUAAAUAAACCGAGAGCCUCUUCUCCAGCGGGGCUUUUUUUCACAGAUAUGCCGUGGAAAUGAGCUGCCACUUUAACUGUUGGUGUUUAGAGUUAAAGUAUGUGGUAGUGGCAGGAUUCGCAUUCUGAUGUGUGACAGUCACGCUGGCGUCAGGUUUCAGCCUUGCUGUGGUGAACCCGCUUGUGCUGCAGGAGUUAAAUCUGUCAGCCUUUCUCCUCCUGACCACCCCCACCGAGUGCCACAGGGGUAUUCUUGCCUCCAUUUUAACCAGCUCCUCGUUUGAAGUGCUUUCCUGAAAUCCAGACUGAUGAGAAAAGUGAUUCUUCUAAAUAUAGGGGUGAAGAAAAGUGGUGUUUGUUCCCAGCGCUGUCAGUGUACAGCCACUGCUCAUCGGCGCUUUCAAACAUCAGUUGUGAGAACAGCUGAUCAUCCCCAAAGUGCCCUCACUUCUGGUCACGAUUCCAGAGGUUUGAUGAUGCUAGUAAAUCAUCCCAGCAGGAAGACCGAGCAUCAUAGUCUUGAGAGCAUUCUCUUGGCCUCAAUAUUCCCCUAGAGCUCUGGGGAAGAGGGAAGUUGGGAAGGAAUCCUAAUGCAGAGACCAGAAGUGAAGAGCUACGGUCUCCAGCAGCCUCAGCUGAGAGGGCAGAGUAUUAAUUAAACUGGAGGACUCAAGAGCCUGUCUGGAAGGGAUUCUGGAUGGAGAGGAGAUGCAAACCCAGAGGACCAACAUGAAAUGCAGGCAGAAUGUUCUUCUGAAACGGAAGAGUUCAAAAUCCAAACUCAAAAGGACAAAGAAAGGGAAUAAAGGAGAAAUCCUGAUUGUGGAAAAUGAGAAGCUGCUUAUCAGAGGGAAUGUGGAUGUGUGAUGCCAGGGUGGGGCAGUUUUCUCUCCGGUUCCUGUGCUUCCUCUGAGGUGGUUUGACUUUUGAAAUAUAUAAAAGAAAGGUGACUUGGUUUUUGUUUCCUCUGCUGGAAAAGAUGGAAUGGGAAGACAGGGCAGACUUUGCAGCACUAAUGUUGCAGGAGUAGAUUCCCAUACUGUCUGUUGGUAUUGAAAACAGCCUGAAAUUGCUUUUUAGCUUUUUCCUGGGAAAAAUGACAGGAACAUCAAAGGAUCAUAUUAGUUAGGAAAGAAGCAAGCAGCCUCAAUGUGAGUUUUGUGUUUACUGUGGUGUGGAGAGAAACACUGCAUUGGUGGUGGCAGUGAAGAUGAAUUCUGGGGAUGCAGGUCAGAUAUCCUAACGCUUCCAUGUCCUCCAGGGAUGGCAGUUUGCAGGUCACAAUCGUGGUCUGGGGCUAAGGGGAUGGAUAGAUUAAAAAACCCCAAUCUCUAACAGGUCAGAUCCUGAGAACGGAGUUGUAAUUCCUGCAGAGCCAAUGGUAGGGAUCUCCCUGGGAAUAACGCUUGGAAAUGUGCUGCUAAGUGCUUUCCUGCCACACGUCCCUCCUUUAUGAAGCUGGGAUCCAGGCCUGAGCAGCAGCUGGCCACUGAACAUCUGCCCCAGUGUGCAAUGGCCAAGUUUAUCCAGAGAGCUGAGCUGCUGCAACAAGUCACCCUCACUUUGCUGACCUGCAGAGUUUGCAGUGCUCUGGAGCACUGGGAUAUGGUUGGAGUUGUGCUCCAGGAAAAUGUCAGCCCUGGAGCAGCUCUGUUAACCUCCUGCAAAUCACUGGAAACCUGCAGUGCUGGCCCAGGCAUUCAGUGCAAACAAAGCACGAGCUGCUGUAGCACAUUUGUGCCAGGGUUUCCUGAUUCCAAGUGCAGUCAGAUACGGCCUAAAAUGAACCAUUGUUGUAACAAUGACAAGAGAGGCUGGGGUGAAAAUCAUGUUAUUUCCUUUGGAAAGAAAAGAGUUCUAUUUUUAACUAUUUUCCCCUUAAUCUUACUAUUUUGCUCUACCAGUGUUUAUAGCAGAGAGCACAAUACUUCUUGUUGUGAUUGUUCUUUGUGUGACUGGGAUAUAAGUAGAUAUUCUGCAGCAAAUUCUCUGUCUGGGAUACAGAGUCCAAAGAGAUUAUGCUGCAGGAAGUUCUAAAAAAAACCCCAAACCCUUACACAAUCCCCCACUCACUCCCUCCAAAAAGCCAUAACCCAAACAAAUAAAAACCCUGAAAGACUGUCAUAGUUCCAAAAUAACCACAAAAAAUGUGUGCUAGGCUUAAAACAGAAGUCUGGGGGAAAUGAUUGUCAGAUCCCUGGGUGCAUUUGAGAACUGCUUUCUGCACAUGAAACAGAAGAUAAGAAACACACACUUGGGCUGUGCUUGUGUGUUCUCACAGAGCCAAAUGAACAGCUCCUCUCAUUCUUUGCUUCCCCAUCUUCAUUAGCAGUCAUCUGAUCUUCCCUCCCCUUCUGCAUCCACUAAUCCUCACCAAAAUGGCUGGAAAGAACUUCUGUUGUGCUCUGGAGUGUUUUCCUGAGAUUAUUUCUACUACUUCAGCAAGCUCAGUAGAGUUACUGGAUGCUCAGAAGGACUUUUUGGUCUGGACUUUACAAACCUUGGACCCUGUUCAACAGUAAGCAGUCAGGAGAGAGGAGAGGGACUGCUCCCUGUCACCUGAAACAAGCUUUAAAUUCAUUUCAAACAGUUCUUUGAGAGCAGACAUUGGUAAAGGAUAAAAAAAAAUUCACAGGUACUUAAUCAAGACGUCCUUCUGCCUCAGCCCUUUGCUCUCAUGUAUGAGUUCACAGCCAUCUAUGCACAAAUUACACAUAAUUUCUCAGGCUAUGAUCUUUGCCAUUAUUUUGCAGGAUGCUGCCUGAAGGAAAGAGCAGAGCUGCAGGCUUGUGCUGAGUGGGUGAUGUAUGAAAGGGGCUUGUGGCAGUGGGUUAGGAUGGAGCACAACUCACAAAUGGAAGGGAAGCAGACUUUCAGCCUCUCUGUGCCAUUGUUUGGAUCACGUGUUUUACUGAGGUUUUGAUAAAACCGGUAUUUAAAGGAAAACCCCCGAAUCUAACCCCACCAUGGAAACCACCUGGGUACUGCAAGAUGAUGUGGAAGUGGAUAAAUUGGGAAGUGCAGCUUCUUUGGGUAAUUUUGUGCUCUGAUCUGAGAAACCUUCAGGCAUCUCAUCUACAGACUUGGCUCUUUUAUCCUAAUAUUUAGCCCUUCCAGUUUUCCUUUUGCCUGAGGAGUUCAAAGCUUUUUGCAGACUUUGUAGAGUUUUCUUUGUCAAGACACAAGACCUGUGAGGAGGUGGUGGAAAGCAGGGAGAGUGCUGGAAGGUGCUGGUUGUUCCCCUCUUGGUUUCCCUUCCCCUUUGGCUGCCAGCAGCAUCAGGGAAUGGAAAUUCUUUUGGGAUAUGGCAACUCUGACUCAAAAAAAAAAGAGUUCUAUUCUACAGAACCAUCUUCCAAGGUGAAUUUUAUUUUCAUUUAGUGUUAAAUCAAGUGCAGUCACUGGUAAGCAGUGCAGAGUUCAGCUGGGUGCCCUCAAAUGGGAUUUUGGGAUUUUCCACAUUUUGGAAUUGCUGGCUGUGUGUGAGGGUGGGAGGGCAGGGGGCUGAGCUGGGUGUGGUGCUGCCUGUGAGGUGUCAGAGAGAGAAUUGGCUGCUGCAUAAACCUGCUUUUUUCUAGUUACCCUUUACACAAAGUUGAAUAUUACCCAGAAGUUGUGUGGCUGGUUGGAAACCGAGGGCUUUUUCUGGGCAACACUGAGCUGCCUUUCAGUGGGAAAGGGAGGAGAGGGAGCUGUGGGAACAGGAGGGGCUCUGUGCCAGUUCUCAGGGUCAGGAACAAGCUGGAGCAAGCAAGCAGGUACCCAGCCAGCUCCAGCAGCAGAGUUCAACUCAGCCUCAGCUUGCUAGGCCUGAAUUAAAUCAGCAUUAACAGAGCACCGGGGGAAGGAAGGUUUCACCCAGGGAUAAGCUGGCAGUCUGCUCAACAAGCAGGGGAUACGGGAGCUCUCGCUGCCCUGGGAAGUCUGACAGCUUUGCAGUGUCACGGAUUGAUGAACCCCUUGGUAGGUGUGUGUUAGCAGUGGAGGAUUUGCGGCGGCACCGUGAGCAGCCCCUGUGUGUCAGUCCGGUGAACUGCAGCGCUCUGGGCUGGAACUCUGCCGUGCAAUGUCUGCAGUCCCAUUUCUGGUUAGAAAACUCAGAGGCCAAAGAUAUCCUGAUGCUGCCGUGUUCUCCAGGGAUGGCGGUUUGCAGGUCACAGUUCUGGUCUGGGGCUGAGGGGAAUGGACAGAUUAAAAACCCCAUUCUCUAACUGGUCAGAUCCUAGAACUGUAAAAAGGACCCCAAACUGGUCCUUCCCAUGUGCUGCUGCCUCCCACUCAGCUGUCUGUGUGGCUGAUCUGAGAGCUCGCUGCUGGAGCAGCUGGGAUGCUGCCUGGCAUAAUUGGAACUGCCCUUGGCAAUUCCAGCCCCUUGGGGAUAAAGGUGUCACAGGAUGGAGCAGAGCUUAAUCAGAAUGUCACACAGCAAAAGCCGAUUUCUGAUUGUUUGCUCUGACUAAUUACAAGCUUGCUUUGUGUGUCUUUCACCCAUCUCAGAAAAAUGUGGGAUGGCAUGGAACACACGUUACCAAGUGCAGCCAGUCAAGCUGGGAAGCAGGUACACCUACCAGAGUGGAAAGCCGUGUGUGAAACCAUCUGAAUAUCGUGGUUUGUAGCAGCUCAUUAUCCUGGCUACCAGAAUUUCCUGGCUGUGUUUGUAGCCUGGUUGCUACAGUUAAUCAGCAACCUGCCUAAUCUCACUAACCUUCUUUUUGUAACCUGCCUAACCAUUGUGUAAUCUGCUUAUGGCACUGAGCUCUGACUAUUCGUAGCAAGUUUGGAGCUGUGCAGGUGCAAAUAUUCUUAUUCUCAGUCCUGUUGACAGCUGGCUUUCACGGUGUUGGUGCUCAUGAAAUUCAACCUGCUCUCAUGGUGCUAUGGAUCAGAAAAUUAGGGUAUUUCUGGCCUGUUAACAUCUGCCUCCUCCCCUGAGCCUGUGGGGAUUGUCCCAGUGGCUAAUCCUGGGAUGCAGCUCCGUGGGACACGGAUCAUGGCAGGCCACAGCUGCUGGGGACAUCCUGCUGGCCCUGUCACCUGCUGACCUUCACCCCUGAGACUCUCUUCAUCAUGCCUUGGCCCUGGCACCCCUGAUUGCUCUGCUGCGAUUUUAGUAGACAGGAGAGACAGGAAUUUGUCUGAUACUAUUUGUAAGUCUUAGUUCAUUCCUCAAAUUCCUGGAAUUCCUAUUGAAGAAAGAAGCAAUUUGGAGUUUUGCUGGAGUAUGCAAGGGGUUUUUGUUUGUUUGUUUUUCCUAAAGCCAAGUAAUUAUCAAAAGAGAUGUGAAACUCUAAUUCCACUGAAGGGUGAGGAGGAGAUACACCAAACCAUUUUUAAUUUGAUCCCAUUUUCUCUAAUUUAUCUAAUUUCACUAGUUUAAUGUUUGUAAGCCAGCAGCUGUCAUAUCUUGUAAUAAUGGACUAAACAGUAUUCCUGGACAAAUGUAUUCUGUAUAAAAAACUAAUGUUUGACUUCAGCUUGUGGGCAACGGGGCAGACACACUGUUAGGAAUAAUUUGUAAUAACAGAUCUUGAU